GAUGAACGCUAGCUACAGGCUUAACACAUGCAAGGUCGAGGGGUAGCAGGGUAGCAAUACCGCUGACGACCGGCGCACGGGUGAGUAACACGUAUCCAACCUUCCCAUAACUCGGGGAUAGCCUUUCGAAAGAAAGAUUAAUACCCGAUGGUACUUAUAUAAGGCAUCUUAAAUAAGUUAAAGAUUUAUUGGUUAUGGAUGGGGAUGCGUUCCAUUAGAUAGUUGGUGAGGUAACGGCUCACCAAGUCUUCGAUGGAUAGGGGUUCUGAGAGGAAGGUCCCCCACAUUGGUACUGAGACACGGACCAAACUCCUACGGGAGGCAGCAGUGAGGAAUAUUGGUCAAUGGGCGAGAGCCUGAACCAGCCAAGUAGCGUGAAGGAUGAAGGUCCUAUGGAUUGUAAACUUCUUUUAUAGUAGAAUAAAGUGAUCCACGUGUGGAUUUUUGUAUGUAUACUAUGAAUAAGGAUCGGCUAACUCCGUG
This 483-nucleotide ribosomal RNA is filed under the name uncultured bacterium. Its description in RNAcentral is "bacterial SSU rRNA". It matches the Rfam family "Bacterial small subunit ribosomal RNA", at positions 28 to 507 of the family's 1533-position model. The record is from RNAcentral.